RNAcentral lists this ribosomal RNA (1695 nucleotides) under metagenome. RNAcentral's name for it is "bacterial LSU rRNA". It matches the Rfam family "Bacterial large subunit ribosomal RNA", at positions 1335 to 2925 of the family's 2925-position model. The record is from RNAcentral.
CGCCGAAUGAUCAAGGGUUCCUGGGUCAAGCUAAUCUGCCCAGGGUGAGUCGGGACCUAAGGCGAGGCCGACAGGCGUAGUCGAUGGACAACGGGUUGAUAUUCCCGUACCCGUGUGUGCGCGCCCAUGGUGAAUCAGUGAUACUAACCGCCCUGAAACCACAGGAUGUCCUUCGGGACACGAGUUGGCGGAUGCGUGGGACCUGAUCUGGUAGUAGCCAAGCGAUGGGGUGACGCAGGAAGGUAGCUGGGCCAGUCAGUGGUUGUACUGGUGUAAGAGUGUAGGCCGUGACAUAGGCAAAUCCGUGUCACAUUAAGGCUGAGACUUGAUGCAUACCCGUUGUGGGGAAUUCAGUGAUCCUAUGCUGCCGAGAAAAGCCUCUAGUGAGUUCAUACACGGCCCGUACCCCAAACUGACACAGGUGAUCAGGUAGAGAAUACCAAGGCGAUCGAGAGAACUGUGGUUAAGGAACUCGGCAAAAUGCCCCCGUAACUUCGGGAGAAGGGGGACCAUGCCCGGUGAACAUCUUCACGGUGGGAGCUGGGUGUGGUCGCAGAGACCAGAGAGAAGCGACUGUUUACUAAAAACACAGGUCCGUGCGAAGACGUAAGUCGAUGUAUACGGACUGACGCCUGCCCGGUGCUGGAAGGUUAAGAGGACCGGUUAGCCGUAAGGCGAAGCUGAGAAUUUAAGCCCCAGUAAACGGCGGUGGUAACUAUAACCAUCCUAAGGUAGCGAAAUUCCUUGUCGGGUAAGUUCCGACCUGCACGAAUGGCGUAACGACUUCUCUGCUGUCUCGACCACAGACUCGGCGAAAUUGCACUACGAGUAAAGAUGCUCGUUACGCGCGGCAGGACGAAAAGACCCCGGGACCUUUACUAUAGCUUGGUAUUGGCGUUCGGUUCGGUUUGUGUAGGAUAGGUGGGAGACUGCGAAGCAUGCACGCCAGUGUGUGUGGAGUCGUUGUUGAAAUACCACUCUGAUCGUAUUGGACGUCUAACCUCGGCCCAUGAUCUGGGUUAGGGACAGUGCCUGGUGGGUAGUUUAACUGGGGCGGUUGCCUCCUAAAGAGUAACGGAGGCGCCCAAAGGUUCCCUCAGCCUGGAUGGCAAUCAGGUGUUGAGUGCAAGUGCACAAGGGAGCUUGACUGUGAGACUGACACGUCGAGCAGGGACGAAAGUCGGGACUAGUGAUCCGGCACCGGCGAGUGGAAGCGGUGUCGCUCAACGGAUAAAAGGUACCCCGGGGAUAACAGGCUGAUCCUCCCCAAGAGUCCAUAUCGACGGGAUGGUUUGGCACCUCGAUGUCGGCUCGUCGCAUCCUGGGGCUGGAGUAGGUCCCAAGGGUUGGGCUGUUCGCCCAUUAAAGCGGCACGCGAGCUGGGUUUAGAACGUCGUGAGACAGUUCGGUCUCUAUCCGCCGCGCGCGUAAGAAACUUGAGGAAGGCUGUCCCUAGUACGAGAGGACCGGGACGGACGAACCUCUGGUGUGCCAGUUGUUCCACCAGGAGCAUGGCUGGUUAGCUACGUUCGGAAGGGAUAACCGCUGAAAGCAUCUAAGCGGGAAGCCUGUUCCAAGAUGAGGUUUCUCACACCUUGCGUGGUUAAGGCCCCCUACAGACAUGGGGUUGAUAGGCCGGAACUGGAAGCGCAGCAAUGCGUGGAGGUGACCGGUACUAAUAGGCCGAGGGCUUAC